AUGCUGCCGAGAAAAGCCUCUAGUGAGUUCAUACACGGCCCGUACCCCAAACCGACACAGGUGAUCAGGUAGAGAAUACCAAGGCGAUCGAGAGAACUGUGGUUAAGGAACUCGGCAAAAUGCCCCCGUAACUUCGGGAGAAGGGGGACCAUGCCCGGUGAACAUCUUCACGGUGGGAGCUGGGUGUGGUCGCAGAGACCAGAGAGAAGCGACUGUUUACUAAAAACACAGGUCCGUGCGAAGACGUAAGUCGAUGUAUACGGACUGACGCCUGCCCGGUGCUAGAAGGUUAAGAGGACCGGUUAGCCGUAAGGCGAAGCUGAGAAUUUAAGCCCCAGUAAACGGCGGUGGUAACUAUAACCAUCCUAAGGUAGCGAAAUUCCUUGUCGGGUAAGUUCCGACCUGCACGAAUGGCGUAACGACUUCUCUGCUGUCUCGACCACAGACUCGGCGAAAUUGCACUACGAGUAAAGAUGCUCGUUACGCGCGGCAGGACGAAAAGACCCCGGGACCUUUACUAUAGCUUGGUAUUGGCGUUCGAUUCGGUUUGUGUAGGAUAGGUGGGAGACUGUGAAGCAUGCACGCCAGUGUGUGUGGAGUCGUUGUUGAAAUACCACUCUGAUCGUAUUGGACGUCUAACCUCGGCCCAUGAUCUGGGUUAGGGACAGUGCCUGGUGGGUAGUUUAACUGGGGCGGUUGCCUCCUAAAGAGUAACGGAGGCGCCCAAAGGUUCCCUCAGCCUGGAUGGCAAUCAGGUGUUGAGUGCAAGUGCACAAGGGAGCUUGACUGUGAGACUGACACGUCGAGCAGGGACGAAAGUCGGGACUAGUGAUCCGGCACCGGCAAGUGGAAGCGGUGUCGCUCAACGGAUAAAAGGUACCCCGGGGAUAACAGGCUGAUCUUCCCCAAGAGUCCAUAUCGACGGGAUGGUUUGGCACCUCGAUGUCGGCUCGUCGCAUCCUGGGGCUGGAGUAGGUCCCAAGGGUUGGGCUGUUCGCCCAUUAAAGCGGCACGCGAGCUGGGUUUAGAACGUCGUGAGACAGUUCGGUCUCUAUCCGCCGCGCGCGUAAGAAACUUGAGGAAGGCUGUCCCUAGUACGAGAGGACCGGGACGGACGAACCUCUGGUGUGCCAGUUGUUCCACCAGGAGCAUGGCUGGUUAGCUACGUUCGGAAGGGAUAACCGCUGAAAGCAUCUAAGCGGGAAGCCUGUUCCAAGAUGAGGUUUCUCACCACCUUGCGUGGUUAAGGCCCCCUACAGACCAUGGGGUUGAUAGGCCGGAACUGGAAGCGCAGCAAUGCGUGGAGGUGACCGGUACUAAUAGGCCGAGGGCAU
Molecule: ribosomal RNA, 1334 nt
Filed under: metagenome
Description: bacterial LSU rRNA
Rfam family: Bacterial large subunit ribosomal RNA
Source: RNAcentral